GGGUGCCGGAAACGGCAGCCUUGGUGAAAAGGGAAACAGGUGAAAGUCCUGUGCGAACUCGUCACCGUAAGUAAGGAGUUUGUACCGGUACAUUGUUGGAUACAAUUCAGGAUGUGCAAAAUGCCACUGGGGGGACCGGGAAGGCGGUACAAAUGAUGAGAUACAAGUCGGGAGACCUGCCUUACGUUG
RNAcentral lists this non-coding RNA (189 nucleotides) under bovine gut metagenome. The record is from RNAcentral.